UUUGACUCUAACCAAAUGGUAAAUACACCCUUUGGAAAUAAGCUUUCUAGCUUUGAGGUAAGAGAUAAAAUGACUCUUGGGUGACACAGAAUUCCCAAACUACUCAAACACGGAUGCACUCGAAAACUGAAACUUGACCACUGGGGUUCGACAACCAAUAGAGGGAUAAGAAGAAUAUAGCCAGUCCAUACCCAGAAUCAUAUCAAAAUCUACCAUGUCUAACUUAAUCGGAUCAGC
This 237-nucleotide long non-coding RNA is filed under the name Capsicum annuum. RNAcentral describes it as "long non-coding RNA (CANN_LNC007003)". The record is from RNAcentral. Lineage: Eukaryota; Viridiplantae; Streptophyta; Magnoliopsida; Solanales; Solanaceae.